UGCAGUCGAGCGAACUGACGAGGAGCUUGCUCCUUUGACGUUAGCGGCGGACGGGUGAGUAACACGUGGGUAACCUACCUAUAAGACUGGAAUAACUCCGGGAAACCGGGGCUAAUGCCGGAUAACAUAUCGAACCGCAUGGUUCGAUAGUGAAAGACGGUCUUGCUGUCACUUAUAGAUGGACCCGCGCCGUAUUAGCUAGUUGGUGAGGUAACGGCUCACCAAGGCAACGAUACGUAGCCGACCUGAGAGGGUGAUCGGCCACACUGGAACUGAGACACGGUCCAGACUCCUACGGGAGGCAGCAGUAGGGAAUCUUCCGCAAUGGGCGAAAGCCUGACGGAGCAACGCCGCGUGAGUGAUGAAGGUCUUCGGAUCGUAAAGCUCUGUUGUUAGGGAAGAACAAAUGUGUAAGUAACUGUGCACAUCUUGACGGUACCUAACCAGAAAGCCACGGCUAACUACGUGCCAGCAGCCGCGGUAAUACGUAGGUGGCAAGCGUUAUCCGGAAUUAUUGGGCGUAAAGCGCGCGUAGGCGGUUUUUUAAGUCUGAUGUGAAAGCCCACGGCUCAACCGUGGAGGGUCAUUGGAAACUGGAAAACUUGAGUGCAGAAGAGGAAAGUGGAAUUCCAUGUGUAGCGGUGAAAUGCGCAGAGAUAUGGAGGAACACCAGUGGCGAAGGCGGCUUUCUGGUCUGUAACUGACGCUGAUGUG
RNAcentral lists this ribosomal RNA (714 nucleotides) under Staphylococcus chromogenes. RNAcentral describes it as "bacterial SSU rRNA". It matches the Rfam family "Bacterial small subunit ribosomal RNA", at positions 56 to 753 of the family's 1533-position model. Lineage: Bacteria; Bacillati; Bacillota; Bacilli; Caryophanales; Staphylococcaceae. The record is from RNAcentral.